GAUGAACGCUGGCGGCGUGCCUAAUACAUGCAAGUCGAGCGAACAGACGAGGAGCUUGCUCCUCUGACGUUAGCGGCGGACGGGUGAGUAACCCGUGGAUAACCUACCUAUAAGACUGGGAUAACUUCGGGAAACCGGAGCUAAUACCGGAUCAUAUAUUGAACCGCAUGGUUCAAUAGUGAAAGACGGUUUUGCUGUCACUUAUAGAUGGUUCCGCGCCGCAUUAGCUAGUUGGUAAGGUAACGGCUUACCAAGGCGACGAUGCGUAGCCGACCUGAGAGGGUGAUCGGCCACACUGGAACUGAGACACGGUCCAGACUCCUACGGGAGGCAGCAGUAGGGAAUCUUCGGCAAUGGGCGAAAGCCUGACGGAGCAACGCCGCGUGAGUGAUGAAGGUCUUCGGAUCGUAAAACUCUGUUAUUAGGGAAGAACAAAUGUGUAAGUAACUAUGCACGUCUUGACGGUACCUAAUCAGAAAGCCACGGCUAACUACGUG
This 497-nucleotide ribosomal RNA is filed under the name uncultured bacterium. RNAcentral describes it as "partial 16S ribosomal RNA". It matches the Rfam family "Bacterial small subunit ribosomal RNA", at positions 28 to 507 of the family's 1533-position model. The record is from RNAcentral.